UAAUAUCUUUGUGUGUACUUCACACUACUCUUAUAUAGCUAUUCUUGUAGCCCCUCUCUUACAAUUCUAAUUAGCUUACUCAUAAACCUUAUCUAAGUGGUCUGUUGUUACAACAUGCUCUACAACAAGAUUCACAAUGUUAGUUAGAUUAUACAAAAUGAUUUUCAUAUGUACUGUACUGAACAUACAAGAUCUCUCUAGAAUCAAUCUGAAUCCUCUACGGAGUACUAUCUCUGAUAAUUACAAUGCUUGAUUGCAACAGUUGAAUGGCCCGGUGGCGUAGUGGUUAACUACUCACCUGGUAUCCCAGAGAAGGGGUGCGGGUUCGAAUCCCACAGGGCACAUUUUAACCAAUAUCCACUGUUAAAUCACCAAACAGUACCGGGUGUAACCGGCCCCUUGGGCUGGCUAUAUAAGUUAGAUCAGUACUGAAUCAUUGUCAAGCUUAACUAUCUAUCUAGACAUCUCUAAAUUUGUCUGUGACAGUUAAUUGAUAGACUACAGCU
This 506-nucleotide small RNA is filed under the name Histoplasma ohiense. Its description in RNAcentral is "hypothetical lncRNA". The record is from RNAcentral. Lineage: Eukaryota; Fungi; Ascomycota; Eurotiomycetes; Onygenales; Ajellomycetaceae.